ACCGGUCUUCGGUCAAGGGUAUACGAGUAGCUGCGCUCCCCUGCUAGAACCUCCAAACAAGCUCAAGGCCCCUUCUAUUUUAUCACUAUAUAUUCUUGCUACAUUAUAUUGGUGUUCUCAAGGAAAUAUAUAAAGC
This 136-nucleotide small RNA is filed under the name Meriones unguiculatus (Mongolian gerbil). Its description in RNAcentral is "7SK RNA (ENSMUGG00000023720.1)". The record is from RNAcentral. Lineage: Eukaryota; Metazoa; Chordata; Mammalia; Rodentia; Muridae.